GGUUGUGGCUCAGUUGUAGAGCACUCUCCUUGAACAUGCAAGGCCCUGGGUUCAAUCCUCAGCACCA
RNAcentral lists this transfer RNA (67 nucleotides) under Marmota monax (woodchuck). Its description in RNAcentral is "tRNA.Undet". Lineage: Eukaryota; Metazoa; Chordata; Mammalia; Rodentia; Sciuridae. The record is from RNAcentral.